This is an unclassified non-coding RNA of Fukomys damarensis (Damara mole-rat), 184 nucleotides long. Lineage: Eukaryota; Metazoa; Chordata; Mammalia; Rodentia; Bathyergidae. The record is from Ensembl.
GGAUGUGCUGGCCUCGUGGCUUGUCUGAUUUGCACGGUGACUUGAUUACACGCCCGCAUUCAUGGUCACUUCCGAAGCGCUUUAGCGCCUUCCGUCCCUAAACCGCCAACAGUCAAGGCGGCUUUCCCCGUGGACUGUCAGUGAUCCACGGUCCGGAAGGACCUUCGUCUUACCCGGGAUCCAC